UACAGAGGUCCCAAGCGUUGUUCGGAUUCACUGGGCGUAAAGGGUGCGUAGGCGGUCGGGUAAGUCUGAUGUGAAAUCUCACAGCUUAACUGUGAAACUGCAUUGGAUACUAUUCGGCUUGAGAGUUGGAGGGGGGACUGGAACUCUUGGUGUAGCAGUGAAAUGCGUAGAUAUCAAGAGGAACACCAGUGGCGAAGGCGAGUCCCUGGACAACUUCUGACGCUGAGGCACGAAAGCUAGGGGAGCAAACAGG
Molecule: ribosomal RNA, 253 nt
Filed under: uncultured bacterium
Lineage: Bacteria
Description: partial 16S ribosomal RNA
Rfam family: Bacterial small subunit ribosomal RNA
Source: RNAcentral